Molecule: transfer RNA, 73 nt
Filed under: Myotis davidii
Lineage: Eukaryota; Metazoa; Chordata; Mammalia; Chiroptera; Vespertilionidae
Rfam family: tRNA
About the family: Transfer RNA (tRNA) molecules are approximately 80 nucleotides in length.
Source: Rfam by way of RNAcentral
GCCAGUUUGGCUCAGUAGGUAGAGCAUUAGUCUGCAGACUAAAGGGUCUCAGGUUCGAUUCCGGUCAAGGGCA